Long non-coding RNA from Gasterosteus aculeatus aculeatus (three-spined stickleback), 309 nucleotides. The record is from Ensembl. Lineage: Eukaryota; Metazoa; Chordata; Actinopteri; Perciformes; Gasterosteidae.
AAAGCACUGGAGCAGGACAGGACAGCGCACAAGUGCACAUUAUCCCUGGACAACUACCAGCAUCUCCUCCAUCUCACAGAUGUGUGGAUGUCUCUAUUCUACAUUCUAAAAACGCAACUUUAUCCGGAAGAAGUUCAUUUAAAUGGAGGUCGGUGCUUUUACCUUCUUACUUCCUGUCGGACGUCUAAACAACUCAAACUUCCAAACCUGAUUCAGGAGCCUUGUGGACUGAAACGGACGGCAGAGAUCUCACCGGACUCUGAGUCUUCACCAAUGACGUGUUGUGAUUGACGCAAGUAUUAAUGUUCC